Molecule: RNA transcript, 4825 nt
Organism: Oryza brachyantha (malo sina)
Lineage: Eukaryota; Viridiplantae; Streptophyta; Magnoliopsida; Poales; Poaceae
Gene name: zinc finger CCCH domain-containing protein 36-like
Exons: 6
Source: RefSeq, a predicted model, not a curated record
UCCGCCGCCGUGGUAAAGGCCCAAGGGCAGCAGCGAAAGUAACGCGUGGAAAAGGGGGGGACAUCUCCGAGUCCCAGAGCGAGAGAGGACUGAAGCGGACGAGACGACGAAGGUUUUUUGCUCCCAAUCCCCCACCCAAACACAUCAACGUCGCCGCCGCAUCGUGCUCAUCCAGCUAUCCCCCCUCCAUCCGAGCCCUUCUCCCCCACGGCGGGGGCUGCGGCUGCGGCUGCGGCUGCGAGGCAUUCGGAUGGCGGGCACCGGCCGGAGCGCCGUGCUGCCGGCGACGGACGAAGCUGUGAAGGCCGGCCGGCCGGGCGUGGGGCCGACGAAGAGGGCCAGGGAUCCGGCCAACGCCAAGGAUCUCAACGGUUUUGUUGGAGGGUUUGCUGCUGAGAAGAAACCAACAGUGCAGGCCAAUAGCAACAAGAAAUAUCAGAAGAAAGGUGGGAAUGUUCUUGUAUCACAAAGUUCACCAGAUUCUAAUGGUUUGAGUUCGCAACAAAGAUUUGGGAGUUCAUCUCCUGGUGGAGAUCUGAGGAAUAAAGCCAGAAAACCGACCAAAAUAUGUAUCUUUUAUGCUCAAGGGCAAUGCAAUAAUGGGACGAGUUGCACCUUUCUUCAUAAAGGAGAGGUAUCUGGUUCUGAUAACCAGGGUUAUGAACAUCAUAGAGGCACUGGAGAAGGAUCUCAAAUGCAACAUUUAUCCGACUUCAAAGAGCUCCAGCUUGGAAAAGUGGGCUUGUUCCAGAAUGAGAUAAAUAUAACCCUUAUUCAUGCAUAUGGUGAAGAUAACAAGGGGCUGUCACAUCCCCUUGUUAAACAUAGUCCUCACACGCCAAAGGUUUCACAUGGUUCCAAAAUUGAUGGUUCAUUGACUACAAAGCCUACUGAUGAGGUGGUUCAGUUUCCAGUAGUUCAAGAGAAGAACCAUGGACCUUAUUUCAUGGGACAUCAAAUUAGUUUGAACAAUAACAGCUGUUUGGAUGAUAGGGGUGCCACCUCUAGAUUGCGCCUGGAUGGAGGAAAUCUGCAGUUUGAUAUGGCCAAGGGAGGCAGUCCAAGGGAUUCACUUCUCUCAAGAUCUUACCUUGAAAUGAACCCCUUAAAGCCUGAUUAUCGGUAUCAACCGUUUGACUCAACUAUUUGUUUUGAUCCUCGCCAAUAUAGCAAGAAGUUAUCAGCUUACGUUGGAGCAACAGAGAAUCUUCCUUGCAAAUAUCAGGAAGAAAAAAGUUCAAGACAUGCCUCAUACAACUUGAAUUGUUUUACCGGAUUCAGAAACCCAAGCUAUGACAGCUCUGAUUAUUCCUUGGCUAGUCAAUCUCUUCGAGCAACUUCUCACUCGGGAACCCUUCCUCUUCAUCGAUUAGCACCUGAUAAGGAUGGCAGCCACCAUAAAGAUGCUGAUAUUGACAAGGGUGUUACCUCUAGGUCUACAUUACAUGUGAGCAGUUCACCUCAAUCUGUGGUAGCAUCGCCUGGGAAACUUUCCCCAGUCAAGGAUGAGGUUUGGAUAACUUCAGUGCCUUUUGUACCUUCUUUUGACUUACCUGAUUUUCUUGGCAGUGCAUCAUCUUCAAAAAGUCAGUAUGAGCCACUUGUAGACAGAAUCGACCCUCCCAAAGUUGAAAGUUUAAAUAAUCUGAAGUCCUCAAACAUAUCCUGUAGCAUUUCAAAUCAACAUGGAGAUACGAAUGCUAUAAGAGGGAGGAGUCUUGAAAAACCAUUGACUUGUGCUGACAAGUUGGCAAGGAAUGCAUCUGCUAAAGGAUCAAAUGAAUUUGUAGGCUUGAUUUCAUAUGAUAGGGGACACAACUCUAGCCUAGAUGAUGAUAAUAGGGUGAAAACCUGUGAAAGGAAAGAUGUUGUAUCACUUAACGAUGAGAAAGCAGACUUCCGUUUUCAUUUGGUGGAACAUGUUAAGGAGCUGGUGAAACCAAUCUGGAAGGAAGGCAAUCUGAGUAAAGAUGCUCAUAAGCUAAUUGUAAAAAAAUCUGUUGAUAAGAUUUUUGCUUCAGUUGAGCCAAGUCAGAGACCAGGGACUAAAAAGUUGAUAGCUACUUAUAUAGAAGCCUCUGCACCAAAGAUAGAGAAACUUGUGAAGGCAUAUGUUGAUCGUCAUCGGACAGCAUGAGAUCCAAACUUUUGAUUUCUGAGCUACAAAUACAGAGGAGAUGGGGUCUGAGCCUGUUGUCCUACCAAAGAGCAUAUUGCUGUGCUAGAUGUUUCCAGUAAGUAUGCAGUGUAGCCAAUCUUACAUGGAGCUCAUCGGCACUAACAAGCUUUAACCAAUGAUAAUAUCCCUUGUUCUCCUUGUAAGGUAUACUUCUCAUAUGGCAUACUAGAUAUUUUAUGAAUUGUUGUAACCUUAUGCAUCCAAGCAGCAUUCUUUUAGGGUUAAUUGGAUCCAUGACAUUAUAGAUUUUCCCGUUUCGAAAAAUAUCGUUACUAUUCACUUAUUUGGAGCCAUGCCACUACAAUUUCACACAUUCUUUCAGCACAUAUUCUCUUUUUUUUUUUGACCAAAUUGCCUGUCUUCUUCUUCACCCCCUUCAUCCUUCCACUUCUCUCCUAUUCUAAUCCAGGGACCACAAGGCCUCCCCCAAUGGCAGCGAUACGGGUUGGCCCAUUCGAGGGCCGCACCUCCACUGCCGAUGCCAAAUAAGCGAAAUUGUAAUUGCACAUCUCCAACUAAGCAAAUAGUAAUGGUAUUUUUCAAAACGGGCAAAUUUAUAAUGGCAUGGAUCCAAUUAACCAUUUUUAAUGUACUUUCUAAGGUGGUCAGUGAUGCUAUACAGGGGAAUUCACAAGAUAUUUGAUAGUGAUCCUUUUGGUAUUAAGUAAUGGUUAGAUUUGUUAUUCCAAAAGAAAAUUUAUCAGGUGGGAAACUUAUUUCCUGUUGACCUACCGGAGUUAAUUGGCUUGGAAUUACUGAAAUCUCGUAGAAGUUUAUGAACUUGAAGUUCAGGUUCCUCUGCGUACAAGUCAACCAAACUUAUCAAAGAGAACAUCAUGACCCGUCUAAGAUGAAUACUUAGUGCUGAAAUUAUACACUGAGAAAUGAUUUUGCAGGAUUUUGGUAAGAUUGAUAUCCAUGGAAAUAUUUUAAUUAAAUGUCUUUAAGCAUGAUUUGAUACAACUAUAAAUGCGUACAGGUCAGCUUUUACUCCACUGCUUUCUAGAUAUAGAAUGAGUUUCUAGAGUUGUCUUACCAUAAUGGCAUUCUUAAAGAUCCUAACCAUUUACUGUAAUGGUAUACUGAGAACUGAAAAUAUGUACAUCUAGUUUAUUUAUUACCUGAGUUGUCCAUGUUGAUUUUGUAACACAGAAAUUGCACGAUUUCCCCCUGAAGAUGUUUAUACUUGAAGUCUGCAUGUAAAAAUUAUGCUCCUUCAAUUUACAGAUAUGCAUGCCAUCGUUGCUUCCAAAAUUUGUUGCCAAAUGCAUGUUGCUGUACAGUUUUGAGUCUGAUUAAGUGUUGUUAUUAUGGUUAACUUCUGGUUACCCAUCACAUGGUGCUAAACUGCUAAUUAAGAUAUUCACUGUGGGUACUAUAGUCUUUGCAGUCAGUCAGUGCUUGUGUGCAAUGUGCUAAAUAGCAUGUUUGUGAGUAACUGGAUAUAGAUGAAAUGCCAAUUACACUUAGAAAAAAUUCCAAUGAGAUUCUAACUCCAGAUAUGUCAUCUGUUAUAGUGCUAUUAUAGUGACUGUUCCAGAAUUUCAAAUUCUCUCUCUAAAAGAAUAUAAAACUAUUAUCGAAUACUCACUCUGUCCCAAAAUGUAGCCACCUAAUAUGGGAUUUGACCCAUUUGCAGGUUCGUAGUCCUAAGACGGGUCAAAUACCAUCUUAGGUAGCUCCAUUUUGGGAAGGAGGGAGUAGUGAUAUUUUCCUCAUUACAACUCACAAAAGUACAGUUAUCAUGCCGUAGUGAUUAGGCCAUCAAGUACGGUUGUUAUCUUAAUUAGUAACUCUAAUUUGAUGUGUACAACUUUUCAGGCAGCAUGAAUUCUAUGUUUGAUCUGGUUAUGCUAUGAGUGGAACAUUAACACUAAUGAGCAUGCUGUUGAUACUAGAGUAAUAUGGCAUCUUGCUGCCUUCAUAUCCUUCCAAUAAUUCUUCGUGAAGGCACAUAACAUGGUACUUGUUUGUGCCAAGAUGAUUCAAUGUUUGUCAAGCUCUCUAUGAAGGCACAUAACAUUGGUUCAGUGAAAUCAGUUUCCUUUGGCUGCUAAAGCUGGCUGACGUUUUGGUAUUGUGCGUGUUCUGAGAGACGUUGCUCCUAAGAUUUCAGUGAAGUUGAUGCCAAUCUGGAGUCUUUUUCCGAACUCAACGGAAGGCUAAGAUGGCCUGCCUGAAUGUAUUUAUUCUCAAUGGUAGCAGUGCUGAUGCAAAGCCCAAGCACAGCCAUGAAAAGUAUGAGAUUGGGAAGUAAAAAAGAGUACAAGGAAAUUAUGUUGCAUCUCCUUGUUGAAUGUUGAUGACGGCAGACAAAGUUUGUAGGUUCUUGGGUGUGCAUUGAAGCCAUGUUUUGAUGGUGCAAAUUUAUUUUCCCUUCAUGAUAUGAUAUUGGUUGGUAGAGUUGGAGAGAGAUCUUGGAGAUCUCUCAGUUCUUUGGAUCUUACCUCUACUUCAGUUCAUGGGUUACUAAUAUAUUCAGAAACAUACGCCAAUCAUGUACGGAAUAUGUAUGUAUUCAUAGGCAAGUAAUGCAUUCAGAAAAUUCUGCAAAGAGCGUUUUUCGUGUUUCACUGGCUUCAGUCGGUAAUGGAAGUGACUGUGUUUACACCCCAUCUGAUUCAAAACAAGAUAACUGCAUAGAGA